Molecule: unclassified non-coding RNA, 331 nt
Filed under: soil metagenome
Description: partial contains 5.8S ribosomal RNA, internal transcribed spacer 2, and large subunit ribosomal RNA
Rfam family: 5.8S ribosomal RNA (bases 1-120)
Source: RNAcentral
GAUGAAGAACGUAGUGAAAUGCGAUAAGUAAUGUGAAUUGCAGAAUUCAGUGAAUCAUCGAAUCUUUGAACGCACAUUGCGCCCCCUGGUAUUCCGGGGGGCAUGCCUGUUCGAGCGUCAUUUCACCACUCAAGCCUCGCUUGGUAUUGGGCAACGCGGUCCGCCGCGUUCCUCAAAUCGACCGGCUGGGUCUUCUGUCCCCUAAGCGUUGUGGAAACUAUUCGCUAAAGGGUGUUCGGGAGGCUACGCCGUAAAACAACCCCAUUUCUAAGGUUGACCUCGGAUCAGGUAGGGAUACCCGCUGAACUUAAGCAUAUCAAUAAGCGGAGGA